GUGGCAACCCUAACUACUUUUCACAUACUCUUACUUAAGUAUGGAAACAAAACUUGUGUGGACUGGUUGACAAUGAAUAUAGUUAAAGGGACACUAUAGUCACCAGAACAACUACAGCUUAUUGAAUUUGUUCUGGUGAGUAGAAUCAUUACCAUCAGGCUUUUUGCUGUAAGCACGGUCUUUUCAGAGAAAAUGCUGUGUUUACAUUACAUCCUAGGGAUAACUUCACUGGCCACUCCUUAGAUGACUGUUAGAGAUCCUUCCUGGGUCAUGGCUGCCUAAAAUGCAUCCAAACAUUCAGUGUCUCCUCCCUCU
Molecule: long non-coding RNA, 315 nt
Filed under: Pelobates cultripes (western spadefoot toad)
Lineage: Eukaryota; Metazoa; Chordata; Amphibia; Anura; Pelobatidae
Source: RNAcentral